This 438-nucleotide ribosomal RNA is filed under the name uncultured bacterium. Its description in RNAcentral is "bacterial SSU rRNA". It matches the Rfam family "Bacterial small subunit ribosomal RNA", at positions 954 to 1392 of the family's 1533-position model. The record is from RNAcentral.
GCAAAACGCGAAGAACCUUACCCACCUUUGACAUGUACGGAAUCCUUUAGAGAUAGAGGAGUGCUCGAAAGAGAGCCGUAACACAGGUGCUGCAUGGCUGUCGUCAGCUCGUGUCGUGAGAUGUUGGGUUAAGUCCCGCAACGAGCGCAACCCUUGCCAUUAGUUGCUACAUUUAGUUGAGCACUCUAAUGGGACUGCCGGUGACAAACCGGAGGAAGGUGGGGAUGACGUCAAGUCCUCAUGGCCCUUAUAGGUGGGGCUACACACGUCAUACAAUGGCUGGUACAAAGGGUCGCCAACCCGCGAGGGGGAGCUAAUCCCAUAAAGCCAGUCGUAGUCCGGAUUGGAGUCUGCAACUCGACUCCAUGAAGCCGGAAUCGCUGGUAAUCGUGGAUCAGAAUGUCACGGUGAAUACGUUCCCGGGUCUUGUACACACCG